UAACAAGGAUUCCCCUAGUAACUGCGAGUGAAGCGGGAAAAGCUCAAAUUUAAAAUCUGACAGUCUUUGAUUGUCCGAGUUGUAGUCUAGAGAAGUGUCUUCUGUGCUGGACCGUGUACAAGUCCCUUGGAACAGGGCGUCAUAGAGGGUGAGAAUCCCGUCUUUGACACGGACUACCAGUGCUUUGUGAUGCACUCUCAAAGAGUCGAGUUGUUUGGGAAUGCAGCUCAAAAUGGGUGGUAAAUUCCAUCUAAAGCUAAAUAUUGGCGAGAGACCGAUAGCGAACAAGUACCGUGAGGGAAAGAUGAAAAGCACUUUGGAAAGAGAGUUAAACAGUACGUGAAAUUGCUGAAAGGGAAACGCUUGAAGUCAGUCGCGUUGGUCAGAACUCAGCCUUGCCUUUUGGCUUGGUGUACUUUCUGAUUGACGGGUCAGUGUCAGUUUUGAUUGCAGGAGAAAGGUCAGAGGAAUGUGGCAUCUUCGGGUGUGUUAUAGCCUUUGACUGUAUACUGUGAUUGGGACUGAGGAACUCAGCACGCGCAAGCUGUGCUUAGGAUGCUGGCGUAAUGGCUUUAAGCGAC
RNAcentral lists this ribosomal RNA (581 nucleotides) under Ceriporia bubalinomarginata. RNAcentral's name for it is "eukaryotic LSU rRNA". It matches the Rfam family "Eukaryotic large subunit ribosomal RNA", at positions 66 to 648 of the family's 3401-position model. The record is from RNAcentral. Lineage: Eukaryota; Fungi; Basidiomycota; Agaricomycetes; Polyporales; Irpicaceae.